RNAcentral lists this ribosomal RNA (253 nucleotides) under uncultured bacterium. RNAcentral's name for it is "partial 16S ribosomal RNA". It matches the Rfam family "Bacterial small subunit ribosomal RNA", at positions 524 to 776 of the family's 1533-position model. The record is from RNAcentral.
UACGUAGGGGGCAAGCGUUGUCCGGAUUUAUUGGGCGUAAAGAGCGUGUAGGCGGCUAUACAGGUCCGUUGUGAAAACUCGAGGCUCAACCUCGAGACGUCGGUGGAAACCGUAUGGCUAGAGUCCGGAAGAGGAGAGUGGAAUUCCCGGUGUAGCGGUGAAAUGCGCAGAUAUCGGGAGGAACACCGGUGGCGAAGGCGGUUCUCUGGGCCUUACCUGACGCUGAGGAGCGAAAGCGUGGGGAGCGAACAGG